UACAGAGGUCUCAAGCGUUGUUCGGAUUCAUUGGGCGUAAAGGGUGCGUAGGCGGCGCGGUAAGUCGGGUGUGAAAUCUCGGGGCUUAACUCCGAAACUGCAUUCGAUACUGCCGUGCUUGAGGACUGGAGAGGAGACUGGAAUUCCUGGUGUAGCGGUGAAAUGCGCAGAUAUCAGGAGGAACACCGGUGGCGAAGGCGGGUCUCUGGGCCGAUGACUGACGCUGAGGAGCGAAAGCGUGGGGAGCGAACAGG
RNAcentral lists this ribosomal RNA (254 nucleotides) under uncultured bacterium. RNAcentral's name for it is "partial 16S ribosomal RNA". It matches the Rfam family "Bacterial small subunit ribosomal RNA", at positions 524 to 776 of the family's 1533-position model. The record is from RNAcentral.